GAUYAGAUACCGUCGUAGUCCAAACUAUAAACGAUACCGACCAAGGAUGAGAGGUCGUUGUAUAUAAUAUUGACAGUGCAAGUGAUUGCGUUGUGAAUAGAUGAGGACUCCUUUCGAACUUUAGAGGGAAACCAUUGAGUGAUUAGGUUCUGGGGGGAGUACGGUCGCAAGGCUGAAACUUGAAGGAAUUGACGGAAGGGCACCACCAGGUGUGGAACCUGCGGCUUAAUUCGACUCAACACGGGGAAACUUACCAGGUCCGGACACAGGAAGGAUUGACAGAUUGAGAUUUGGGUUCUUUCUUGAUUCUGUGGGUGGUGGUGCAUGGCCGUUCUUAGUUCGUGGAACUGAUCUGUCUGCUUAAUUGCGUUAACGAACGAGACCUUAGUUUAUUUAUUAGAUUAGAAUAACAUUUGUUAUGUCUAAUAGAAAUCGUCAAUGAUUUCUUUUGCUUCUUAAAAGUACUAUUCAUAUCCAAUGGAGGGAAGUUUAAGGCAAUAACAGGUCUGUGAUGCCCUUUAGAUGUUCUGGGCUGCACGCGCGUUACACUGAAAGUCUCAACGGGUUUUUAUCGUUUUGCUUAUUUUCUAUACUUUAUGUGUAGAGAUAAGUAGAACACCCCUUGUUUUAACAAACUGGGUAAACCUUUCAACUGCUUUCGUGAUGGGGAUUGAUGAUUGUAAUUGUUCAUCAUGAACGAGGAAUACCUAGUAAACGCAAGUCAUCAACUUGCAUUGAUUCUGUCCCUGCCCUUUGUACACACCGCCCGUCGCUCCUACCGAUGAAUAUUCCGAUGAACUAUUGGGAACUGUCUCUCACGAGAUUGCCAACUCUAGUAAAUCUUAUUAUUUAGAGGAAGGAGAAGUCGUAACAAGGUAUCCGUAGGUGAACCUGCAGAAGGAUCA
This 905-nucleotide ribosomal RNA is filed under the name uncultured Lobosea. RNAcentral's name for it is "SSU rRNA". It matches the Rfam family "Eukaryotic small subunit ribosomal RNA". Lineage: Eukaryota; Tubulinea. The record is from RNAcentral.